Long non-coding RNA from Oreochromis niloticus (Nile tilapia), 1223 nucleotides. RefSeq lists it as uncharacterized. NCBI's taxonomy places the organism in Eukaryota, Metazoa, Chordata, Actinopteri, Cichliformes, Cichlidae. The record is from RefSeq and is a predicted model, not a curated record. The transcript has 3 exons.
ACAAAAUCUUAAUUGAAUUUUUGGGUGAACUACCCCUUUAACACCCUCUUUGGUCUCCAUAAACUCCCAAGAAAAAUCAGUGGGGCUUUAACUGCUAUAAGUUCUACAUUAUUCACCACAUCUACUUCAGCUUUCUGAACUUAUUACAGACCUGAGUCUGCUGAAUUGGCAGCAGCUGUCUACAGUUUUAUCUGGAUGAGUGCAUCCAUAUGGUUCACAACAUGUUUGGUCUAAGAAGUUAAAGCAAUAUCCUAAAAGAGGCUACAGGUUGUAAAGUAGAGCCAAGCCAACACUGGUAUCUUGGGGCAAGUGCAGAUGCCAGCUCUGAUAUAGAUUUCUUUGUCAGUAAUAAAUUCAGACUGAUAUAUCAGCCAGUAUUCUUUGUGUACAAACACUGUAUUUCACUAACAAGUAAGCAUCUUAAUAUGAGGAUUCCUUGUAUUUGGCAUGCCUUAAGUAAAGCAAAUAUUAUUAUUUUGCAUUUUUUAUUCUGGUUUGGUGGAAAAUGUUGCUGUCGAGCUGGCGACUUAAGUAUUUUAGUGUAAGAGCAAGUGUGAACUGAGUUAAAUUUGGAGUGCAGAAUUCAGUGUCUGAAAGUUUUCUUUUCUUAACUGGCAGUUUAAUGAUAUAUGCACAGCACUUCACUUCACAUUUCAUAGCAGCCAAAAUAGCUCAGCUGGAGUGCAGAAAAUAUUUCCAGAAAAAUCUGCAGCAUCCAAUCGUAAGGUUGAGCUAUCUUCUGGUAAAAAGUCAGUACUUUAACUUUUGGUGCAUAAUUAUAGACCUAUACACACAACCGUUCAGUGAAGCACACAUUGAUCUCUUUUAUCACAUCCAGCCAGAUGCUGACAAACAGCUGUAAUCUUCUAAUACUGUGUUGGCUGACACAGUCCAUCCUCAAAAACCACUAUUCUCAACUGCUCUAUUUUCAGUUUUCUUAUAAUGCUAUUACUCCGAGAGGACAAAGAUAAGCUUCACAUUGUGAGCGUGACAGCGGGACACAGAGAAAGACAGAGAGGAAAAACAAAAGAAGAAGAAGAGGAGGAGAUGCAAUAGAGAUGAAGGUGGCAUCGUGUCUGUGGAGGAACGUCCUGCUGUUCUCUACCGCUUGGCAAGCAGUGGGAUAAUGAUUGCAAAUACACAGGGUAGACUCUAUGCCGGUGCAUUAUCUGUUCGAACCGACCGUGAAUCAAGUACAAAGCGUAAUCCCCGUGGUAAGCUCA